GGGAAAGAUUUAUCGCUAUAGGGAUGGGCCCGCGUAGGAUUAGCUAGUUGGUGAGGUAAUGGCUCACCAAGGGCGACGAUCCUAUAGCUGGUUUGAGAGAACGACCAGCCACACUGGGACUGAGACACGGUCCAGACUCCUACGGGAGGCAGCAGUGGCGAAUAUUGGACAAUGGGCGCAAGCCUGAUCCAGCCAUGCCGAGUGAGU
RNAcentral lists this ribosomal RNA (207 nucleotides) under uncultured Hyphomicrobium sp. RNAcentral describes it as "partial 16S ribosomal RNA". It matches the Rfam family "Bacterial small subunit ribosomal RNA", at positions 200 to 406 of the family's 1533-position model. Lineage: Bacteria; Pseudomonadati; Pseudomonadota; Alphaproteobacteria; Hyphomicrobiales; Hyphomicrobiaceae. The record is from RNAcentral.